This 253-nucleotide ribosomal RNA is filed under the name uncultured bacterium. Its description in RNAcentral is "partial 16S ribosomal RNA". It matches the Rfam family "Bacterial small subunit ribosomal RNA", at positions 524 to 776 of the family's 1533-position model. The record is from RNAcentral.
UACAGAGGGUGCAAGCGUUGUUCGGAAUUAUUGGGCGUAAAGGGCGUGUAGGCGGUUUGCUAAGUCAUGUGUGAAAUCCCCCGGCUUAACCGAGGAACGACGCAUGAUACUGGCAAGCUAGAGUACCAAAGAGGGGGGUGGAAUUCCCGGUGUAGCGGUGAAAUGCGUAGAUAUUCGCAAGAACACCAGUGGCGAAGGCGGCUGACUGGUCCGGUUCUGACGCUGAGGCGCGAAAGCGUGGGGAGCAAACAGG